This 477-nucleotide ribosomal RNA is filed under the name uncultured bacterium. RNAcentral describes it as "partial 16S ribosomal RNA". It matches the Rfam family "Bacterial small subunit ribosomal RNA", at positions 28 to 507 of the family's 1533-position model. The record is from RNAcentral.
GAUGAACGCUGGCGGCGUGCCUAAUACAUGCAAGUCGAGCGGACGGACGCGGAGCUUGCGUCUCUGAUGUUAGCCGAAGACGGGUGAGUCACGCGUGGAUAACCUACCUAUAAGACUGAGAAAACUUCGGGAAACCGGAGCUAAUAGCGGAGAAUCUUUUGAACCGCGUGGGUCAAAAGUGAGAGUCGGUCUUUAUGUCAGUUCUAGAUGGAUGCGCGCUGCAUUAGCUGGUUGGUGAGGUAACGGCUUACCACGGCAACGAUGGAUAGCCGACCUGGGAGGGUGACCGGGGUCAUUAGGACUGAGAUAGGGAGCAGACUGCUACGGGAGGCAACAGUGGGGAGCAUUGCAGAAUGGGCGGGAGCCUGAGGCGGCAACGCCGGGAGCGUGAUGAUGGGCUUCUAGUUAUAAACCGCUUUCGCCUGUGACGAAGCGAGAGUGACGGUAAUGAGUAAGGAAGCCCCGGCUAACUACGUG